Long non-coding RNA from Brassica napus (rape), 2168 nucleotides. RefSeq lists it as uncharacterized. Lineage: Eukaryota; Viridiplantae; Streptophyta; Magnoliopsida; Brassicales; Brassicaceae. The transcript is spliced from 2 exons. The record is from RefSeq and is a predicted model, not a curated record.
GACAACUAAGUCAAACUAAGUCUGCCCAAAGCACUGUAAGACUUCGGUCUAUACUCAGUUCCUAUGAUGAUUAAACAGUGGUACAUGUAAGGAAUAUAAGAUAAGCAUUUGCUUUUAAUGAUUUGUGUCCAUUGUUUUGAGAUAUGAAUGGAGUAGUACAUGAUACUCCUCUAAACAAAGCUAAUGGAAAAUCACCUUGUGAGUGUGAAAUGGGGCCGUUUCUAGGAGAAUGAAGGAAAUGCUAUAUUCUCCAAGUUCACUCAUGAUUACCAGGAAUGUUAACGACCAAAAUGAACACAAUAGAGAAAUUAGUUUUGUGAGAGAAUGAAGCUGUGUUAUAGCUAUUGUCUCGGUUUACACCAAAGUCCGGGGGGUUCAAGACAUCAUGUCCACCUCCUGUUCGAGUAAAUCCGAUAGCUAUUAACAAUGACUGGUUCAAGGCUGAAAAAUUGCUACCAACUCAUCAUGCAGUGGAUUUUUUGCUCAUACUCUCAAAAGUCCUUCUUUUUUUCUUGAGUCAUGUGUAUAGAGUCAUUUCUAUUCAUGUGGGGGAUUGUUGGAACUCGUUUUUGACAAAGUGGUGCGGACCAUUUUUCCGAUGGGUUUUUCGACGGAGACGUCUGUCGGAAGAACCGGAAUUUGGAUACGAUGUAAUCGUCACCGUGAACACUAUGAAUUAGUGUAUUUGUUGGUCAAAAUCGGAGUUGUUUUGAAUAAGAAAUGGAGAUCUAAAGUGGAUGAUUUACAAAGCUUGUAAAGCUUUAGAUUUGGCUAAGUAUAAAAAAUUAGCAAAUAUUUCACUUUGAGUAUUUGGAUUUGAGUUUGGAUUUGCUAAUGAGACAUUUGUCUAUUAACAUAUUAUUAUAAACUUUAUUUAAGAUGAUAUUUUGUGUUUGUUUAGACACAAGAAAGCAAAUUCAUUUAAAUAAAUAUAUUAUUGUUUCAAAACAAAAUAUAUUUAUAUUGCCGUUAGUUGUUAUCAAAAGAGUCAAUGGAGAAUCAUAUCUUCAUUAUGACAUUGAUAUCUGAAUUAACUCUCCAUAAAAACACCACGUCGGUUUCUUUUGUUGAAACUAUAAAGCUGACAAUGUUAAUACUCAUUCAGCAUAGGUUCAUACGAACAGUAUAAUAAAAGAAUUCUCCCACUUGAAUAUUUGAUUCUUUAUUUUUUUUUGUCUUCUUUUCUUUUUCGAGUCGGAGAGUAUACACAAAAACUAGUUUCGUCAGGCUUCUGAUAGAGUGACGCAAAUCAUAAGAUUUUUUGCAGUUGUAUCUUGGGACUCAUUAUAUUAUCAAACCGUCACACUACGGAACGUAUUUUGAGUUAAGGAAAGAGAUAAUAUCUCGCCUCUGCAGUUGUAUCAUCAUUUUCUUAAUCUUUGGUAUAAGUUUAUCAAUUUUAUUCUUUACAAUAUUCAGUUCUCCGUAGUUUAUAUAAUACUGUCCCAUCACAAAGCUUAUAAGAAACUUUUUUAUACUUCAUUUACAUUACAUCAUCCACUAUUAAGUGUAAAUACCGCAUAGUACAGUACAAACAAAAAAAUUAUAAAGAUUCAUGAGGAAAAAAAGUUAUUACUAUGGUUCUCUUGCGGUUAUCUGCUGUUUUCUACUUCCUAAGGGACGUAGCUGGUACAAAAAAAUACAAAAUCUUGGUGUCAAUCAUAAAACUCCAGAGGGAUAUAUGAAAAGUGAAAACCAUUUGAAUAAAGAUUGAAAGUUGAUGGGUGCGGUUUGUCUUUUACCUGUUGUGUAUAGGGCUGGAGCCACUCCUUGGGAUUCUUCUAAAGCUAUUUUUUUCACCUGUUAGUGACUCCUCCUUCAUCUCCUUGCUUAUCUGCAAAUCUCUCACUGCUUUACUUGAAGCUGGCGCCAUGUGACGACCCUCUACAUUAUUCUUGCUGAUAUACAAAGCUAGAAGCAACAGAAUCAGAGCUGUUGAGAUCGACUCCCAUAUGGUGAGUGAGGAUGUUUAUCUUGGAUCUGAUGAUUUCCAGAGCAUUCACUGAUGAUUGAUUAGUCCUCACAUAUACAUAUUAGUUAUUAAUAUAAGCAUACUACAUUUGUUUACACGUAUUAGCCAAGAAAGUAUAUGUCAUUGAGAUGUGGAUCAUGUGAAAAGGCACGUGGUUACUGAUGCUGUUUCUAAUAGUAUUAGUUAAGUCCACCUU